UGGCAAUGAUUAUAAUCUACCCGCGCUUCUGAUAAUUAUACAUGAAGCAUAUGGUAGAAAAAAUGGUUGAAUUUCUUGAUAUGAGCCA
This is a small nucleolar RNA of Elaeis guineensis (African oil palm), 88 nucleotides long. The record is from RefSeq and is a predicted model, not a curated record. Lineage: Eukaryota; Viridiplantae; Streptophyta; Magnoliopsida; Arecales; Arecaceae.